AGUGAACGCUGGCGGUAGGCCUAACACAUGCAAGUCGAACGGCAGCACAGUAAGAGCUUGCUCUUACGGGUGGCGAGUGGCGGACGAGUGAGGAAUACAUCGGAAUCUACUUUUUCGUGGGGGAUAACGUAGGGAAACUUACGCUAGUACCGCAUACGACCUACGGGUGAAAGCAGGGGAUCUUCGGACCUUGCGCGAUUGAAUGAGCCGAUGUCGGAUUAGCUAGUUGGCGGGGUAAAGGCCCACCAAGGCGACGAUCCGUAGCUGGUCUGAGAGGAUGAUCAGCCACACUGGAACUGAGACACGGUCCAGACUCCUACGGGAGGCAGCAGUGGGGAAUAUUGGACAAUGGGCGCAAGCCUGAUCCGGCCAUACCGCGUGGGUGAAGAAGGCCUUCGGGUUGUAAAGCCCUUUUGUUGGGAAAGAAAAGCAGCAGGUUAAUACCCCGCUGUUCUGACGGUACCCAAAGAAUAAGCACCGGCUAACUUCGUG
This 492-nucleotide ribosomal RNA is filed under the name uncultured bacterium. RNAcentral's name for it is "partial 16S ribosomal RNA". It matches the Rfam family "Bacterial small subunit ribosomal RNA", at positions 29 to 507 of the family's 1533-position model. The record is from RNAcentral.